AAAUGAGAACUGAAGGUCAGAGGAAAUGUGCAAGAGGUUUAAUAAGAAUUAGUGACUACUAGCCAUUAGGCAUUAAUUAAUUAAUUAUAAUUAAUUGAGCAAUGUAGGAACUUCCAAUAUUUUUCAAUAUUUUACUAUCUAUGUGAAUGGGGACAAUUCAUUAUAAAUAUAAAAUUAUCAAUGUUGUUCCAAAGUCAGAGACUUGAACCAUAUUUUUGGUCCAAGACCAUGUUAGUUAUGGGUUGUCUUCUUUUUCCAAAGAUAGAGUCUUGGGACUUCUGUUUCCUGCAUGCAAAGAUGGAAGAAAAGGAACCAAACAGAAAAUACUACAAACCAAAAUUGCCCUUCUGAUCAUGCAUAAACAUUUUAAAUGGAAAAUGUGUUUCCUGUACACUUAAGAUUCAAAUAAACCUGAGGAAGGCAAAGAGAUCUGUACACAGGAGUUUAUUUUGAUGACACAAGUUUUAAAUCACUCCCCUUUACAUCCCAAACCACUGUAUCAUUUGCGCCAGUUGAAUUACCAUUGGGUUUACAACAUGUCUUACAAAAUGGAUUAGUGAUGCUGUUCACAAAUGGCCUUUGCAAGGAUUCUAUUAAAAACACAUUAUAACACCAUUGUUAAAAACAAUGUAAAUAUAAGGGUUGCUAAAACAGAGACAAAGAAAAAAAGGAAAUUUUGUUGACAUGGAGUCAUACAAAAUAGGGCAACCUUUGCUUUCUUCAGAGUACAGGAAUCUUGCAAACACACACUCAGAUAUGCUGAAAUUACAGUCAAAUGCAGUGACAUUUACACCAUUCCCUGUAAACGCUAACAUGAUACAAACAGAAACAAAUUUAGUCAUGAUGGCAUAUGUAAUGGAGGAUGGCAGACUUUAUUAUGCUAAAGCAACAACACGGGGGAGAGAUUAGAAACUCGUGUAUACUAGUGUAACUGAUAUCAAAAUCUUCCCCAUUUGCUUACAGUCAAUAAGUGUAAAGCCCUUUGUUUUAUUGACUGCUACACAACUGUGACUGAAUUACACCCACAUCCUGUAUUUGUCAUUUGACUUGCAAACGACAACACAUUGCUACGCCUAAUGUUGACAGGUGGCACGGUUUCCCGUGUAUGUUCUGGAGUGGUGCUGAUGAAAACAGUGUCAUUCUUUCUCUCUCUCUCCACACAGGAAUUUUGCUGUUAGCUUAUUUGUCUGCAAAAGAAAAGUGCUUUUUGCCACUUCAUUAAACUUGUGACAUUAUUCCAUUUUAUUCCCCCCUCCCCACCGCAAUAAAGAUUGGCUGAGACUUGAUUACUUCCA
RNAcentral lists this long non-coding RNA (1295 nucleotides) under Pogona vitticeps (central bearded dragon). RNAcentral's name for it is "lncRNA (ENSPVIG00000010360.1)". The record is from RNAcentral. Lineage: Eukaryota; Metazoa; Chordata; Lepidosauria; Squamata; Agamidae.